RNAcentral lists this ribosomal RNA (828 nucleotides) under uncultured Parcubacteria group bacterium. Its description in RNAcentral is "bacterial SSU rRNA". It matches the Rfam family "Bacterial small subunit ribosomal RNA", at positions 39 to 916 of the family's 1533-position model. The record is from RNAcentral.
GCAGUGCGCUGAAGGCAUGCAGUCGAUGGGUUUAGACCCAUGGCAGACGAGGUAGUAACACGUAGGUACAUCCCCCAAAGUCGAGCAUAACCGGCCGAAAGGUCGGAUAAUUCUCGAUGGUCCCGCAAGGGUAAAGAUUUAUCGCUUUGGGAGUGGCCUGCGUCGUAUCAGCUUGUUGGUGAGGUAAUGGCUCACCAAGGCUAUGACGCGUAGGGGAGGUGAGAGCCUGACCCCCACCGAUGGAACUGAGACACGGUCCAUACUCCUACGGGAGGCUGCAGCCGAGAAUAUUCCGCAAUGGGCGAAAGCCUGACGGAGCGACGCCGCGUGAAGGACGAAGGCCCUCGGGUCGUAAACUUCUUUUAUGAGGGAGGAAAUUUUGACGUUACCUCAUGAAUAAGAGGCUCCUAAUUCCGUGCCAGCAGGAGCGGUCAUACGGAUGCCUCGAGCGUUACCCGGAAUCACUGGGCGUAAAGGGUGUGUAGGCGGUUGUAUUAGUCUCCUGUUAAAGACCGGGGCUUAACCUCGGAAGUGCGGGGGAAACGGUACAACUUGAGGGUGAGAGAGGUGUAUGGAACUCACGGUGUAGGGGUGAAAUCCGUUGAUAUCGUGGGGAACACCAAAUGCGAAGGCAGUACACUGGCUCACUCCUGACGCUGAGACACGAAAGCGUGGGUAGCGAAUGGGAUUAGAUACCCCAGUAGUCCACGCCCUAAACGAUCCUAACUGGCUUUGAGGAGUAUCGACCCUCUUCGAGGCGAAGCAAACGCGUUAAGUUAGGCGCCUGGGUAGUACGAGCGCAAGCUUAAAACUCAAAGGAAUUGACGG